RNAcentral lists this ribosomal RNA (320 nucleotides) under uncultured eukaryote. RNAcentral describes it as "partial 18S ribosomal RNA". It matches the Rfam family "Eukaryotic small subunit ribosomal RNA", at positions 1470 to 1796 of the family's 1831-position model. The record is from RNAcentral.
CCCCUAGAUGUUCUGGGCCGCACGCGCGCUACACUGAACAGUUCAACAAGUCUUAACCUUGGCCGAUAGGUCUGGGUAAUCUUUGAACGCUGUUCGUGAUUGGGAUAGACCUUUGCAAUUAUGGGUCUUCAACGAGGAAUUCCUAGUAAACGCAAGUCAUCAGCUUGCAUUGAUUACGUCCCUGCCCUUUGUACACACCGCCCGUCACACCUACCGAUUGAAUGGUCCGGUGAAAUCUCGGGACGGCGGCUUGGUCGCUUGCGUCCGACUGCUGAAACUUGAUUAAACCAUAUCAUUUAGAGGAAGGUGANGUCGUNACA